RNA transcript from Cucurbita maxima (winter squash), 1199 nucleotides. RefSeq lists it as uncharacterized. The transcript has 8 exons. NCBI's taxonomy places the organism in Eukaryota, Viridiplantae, Streptophyta, Magnoliopsida, Cucurbitales, Cucurbitaceae. The record is from RefSeq and is a predicted model, not a curated record.
CUAGUCUGAAUCGGUUCGAUUUCUUCCGUUAUGAGACCCAACCGAUCGGUUGGACCUAAAAUCGAAUCGAGCCGAACCAAUAUACACCCCUGCUUCACUCGGUCCUCUCUCGCUUCUGUUCUUUUUCUUCUCGGUCCCUCUCUCGCUUCUCAGAGUCACAAGUGGGUUUCUUAUCGCACCAAAUCCUCCAUCCAGAAGCUCGCCUCGAAAUAUUGUCUCACGGCCACUCGCCAUAACCAUAGUUCCAGCAAACCUUCCCACUGCACGUCCUUAUGUAAUUCCGUGAUUGAAGGACACUGAGAAGUUGAUUAUUUGCACGAUUUGAUCAGAUGGGAGACCCAACAAUUUUGGAUAGAAUGCUUAUUCACCUUCGUGCGACAUGCAAAUACUAUACUGGUUUCCCAAAAGAUCUUGGGCCUUCAAGGGUCAUACAUUUUACAUCUGAACGUGAGUUUGUCCAGCUCCUUCAUGAAGGUUAUCCAGUCGUUGUUGCUUUUACAGUCAGAGGUAAUUACACAAAGCAUCUUGACAAAGUAUUGGAGGAAGCUGCGGUUGAGUUUUAUCCGACUGUGAAAUUUAUGCGUGUUGAGUGCCCAAAGUAUCCUGGUUUCUGCAUUUCACGGCAGAGAAAGGAAUAUCCAUUUAUCGAGAUGUUUCAUAGCCCACAACAAGCAUCUAGCCAGGGAAAGAUUUCUGAUCCUAACAUUACGAAGUACUCGGUGAAGGUUCUACCCUUCAACUAUGACCCCAGUGCCUACGGAUUCAGAGAGUUUUUUAAGCGUCAUGGGAUAUAUGGUCGCUGAAUCAAAAGUAAUACACGGUCAAGAGCGCAAAGCCUCUGUAACUUAUCUGUGAUUUUGAACUGGUUUGUGCUGUACAUGAUGGAUACAAACUCCAUAGGUGUUUAAUCUUUAUGCCCACAUGAAAAGUAGACUCAUACAAGAUACUUCCUGGUUUUCACCCUCGAGUUUGUAUAACUAGGUUGGCAGGAAAGUUAGCCGUAUAUCCUCUAUGUGGUAAUAAUGAUAUCUAAUUUCUUUCCAAGGGGCCAUCUUCAGAACAUUUCAUUUGCCUCUCUUCAGUAUGAAAUUAUUUAUUUGAAGUCAGUGGAUUGUGACUCAGGUUCGGGGCCUUUUAGUACAUGUUUCUUAGUUAUGUAAUUGUUUACUUUGGUAAGAAGAAUAUAUAGUUGUUUUCUU